UCAAAUCAAAGAAUGAGUUUCAAAAAAAGGUGUACAGGUUCCCGAAUGGAAAGAAACCUAACUGGAAGAAGUUGAAGAUUUUGGGCCAACAAGCCAAAAUUUAUUUUCUAAAUUUUGUAUUUAGUUAUGUUGGGCCUAAGUACUUUUUGAUAUUAUCAUUAUUGUAUUGUUAGAAUUUUAGGACAUGUAGAAACGGGCCAAAGUCCCAAAAUGAAAUUGGUCCAAAUACGGUCCAG
This 236-nucleotide unclassified non-coding RNA is filed under the name Hevea brasiliensis (rubber tree). Lineage: Eukaryota; Viridiplantae; Streptophyta; Magnoliopsida; Malpighiales; Euphorbiaceae. The record is from RNAcentral.